UACGAAGGGAGCUAGCGUUGUUCGGAAUCACUGGGCGUAAAGCGCACGUAGGCGGAUGUGUCAGUCAGGGGUGAAAUCCCGGAGCUCAACUUCGGAACUGCCUUUGAUACAGCACGUCUUGAGUCCGAUAGAGGUGGGUGGAAUUCCUAGUGUAGAGGUGAAAUUCGUAGAUAUUAGGAAGAACACCGGUGGCGAAGGCAGCUCGCUGGGACGUUACUGACGCUGAGACGCGAAAGCGUGGGGAGCAAACAGG
This 253-nucleotide ribosomal RNA is filed under the name uncultured bacterium. Its description in RNAcentral is "partial 16S ribosomal RNA". It matches the Rfam family "Bacterial small subunit ribosomal RNA", at positions 524 to 776 of the family's 1533-position model. The record is from RNAcentral.